UACAGACGGUCCAAACGUUAUUCGGAAUCACUGGGCUUAAAGAGUUCGUAGGCGGCGCGGAAAGUAGGGUGUGAAAGCCCUCGGCUCAACCGAGGAAUUGCGCUCUAAACUGCCGUGCUUGAGGAACCUAGAGGUGAGCAGAACUGAUGGUGGAGCGGUGAAAUGCGUUGAUAUCAAUCAGGAAUACCGGAGGCGAAGGCGGCUCACUGGGGUUUUCUGACGCUGAGGAACGAAAGCCAGGG
Molecule: ribosomal RNA, 242 nt
Filed under: uncultured bacterium
Lineage: Bacteria
Description: partial 16S ribosomal RNA
Rfam family: Bacterial small subunit ribosomal RNA
Source: RNAcentral